GACGAACGCUGGCGGCGUGCUUAACACAUGCAAGUCGAACGGAAAGGCCCUGCUUUUGUGGGGUGCUCGAGUGGCGAACGGGUGAGUAACACGUGAGUAACCUGCCCUUGACUUUGGGAUAACUUCAGGAAACUGGGGCUAAUACCGGAUAGGAGCUCCUGCUGCAUGGUGGGGGUUGGAAGGUUUCGGCGGUUGGGGAUGGACUCGCGGCUUAUCAGCUUGUUGGUGGGGUAGUGGCUUACCAAGGCUUUGACGGGUAGCCGGCCUGAGAGGGUGACCGGCCCCAUUGGACUUGAGAUAGGGCCAGGAGUCGGGGGGGGGGCAGAAGGGGGGAAAAUUGCAAAAGGGGGCGAGGCCUGAGGGAGGGACGCCGGGGGGGGGAUGACGGCUUUCGGGUGGUAAACCGUUUUGCCCUGUGAGGAGGGGGGGGGGAGGGAAAUGGGUAAAAAAGCACGGGUAAACUCGGG
Molecule: ribosomal RNA, 467 nt
Filed under: uncultured bacterium
Lineage: Bacteria
Description: partial 16S ribosomal RNA
Rfam family: Bacterial small subunit ribosomal RNA
Source: RNAcentral